RNAcentral lists this ribosomal RNA (509 nucleotides) under uncultured bacterium. RNAcentral's name for it is "bacterial SSU rRNA". It matches the Rfam family "Bacterial small subunit ribosomal RNA", at positions 1 to 507 of the family's 1533-position model. The record is from RNAcentral.
AGUUUGAUCAGUGGCUACAGGAAACGAACGCUGGCGGCGUGUUUAAGACAUGCAAGUCACACGGGGCAGGUUGAGUAGCAAUACGAGAUCUGUUCAGUGGCGCACGGGUGAGUAACACGUGAAUUACAUGCCCUUCAGUGGGGAAUAGCCCAGGGAAACUUGGAUUAAUACCCCAUGGUCUCGCAAGAGUAAAGGUGGCCGCAAGGCUGUCGCUGAAGGAUUGGUUCGCGCCCUAUCAGCUUGUUGGUGAGGUAACGGCUCACCAAGGCUACGACGGGUACCUGGUCUGAGAGGACGAUCAGGCACACUGGAACUGAGACACGGUCCAGACACCUACGGGUGGCAGCAGUCGAGAAUAAUUCACAAUGGGGGCAACCCUGAUGGUGCAACGCCGCGUGGAGGAUGACGGUCUUCGGAUUGUAAACUCCUGUCAUCUGGGAGUAAGACCUGGCCGUUAAUAGCGGACAGGGUUGAUAGUACCAGAAGAGGAAGGGACGGCUAACUUCGUG